Molecule: non-coding RNA, 487 nt
Organism: Taeniopygia guttata (zebra finch)
Lineage: Eukaryota; Metazoa; Chordata; Aves; Passeriformes; Estrildidae
Source: RefSeq, a predicted model, not a curated record
GAACACAGUGCUGGGUAGAAACCUGCCUCCCUACCUAGCCAGCAGCUUCAGCUUGGGCUGUUUUCCAUGACAACCUUCUGAAAAAUGUUUUUCUUUAGAAGAAAGAGGUUGCCUUUCCCCCUCUUUUUCAGAAGGGAAAGAAUUUCCUUUAAAAGCAAAAGCAAGAAACAGAAAAUUGGAAAAUUUUUCAUAAAGUUUAGCUUUUGUCAAGACCGCAUUUUCCUUUGAGAAGUGAAGAGAGGAAACAAGGGAGAAGCCUCUAACUCAUGUCAGGUCUUUUUGAUCUGGAGUGGACCCAGUCUCCCAAAUCAGAGCUUUGAAAGAUGACAGCGCCCUUUCCAUGGAGAUGUUGGAUGCUGGGAUGGGGGGUGUGAGAGCAAGGAGCCCACAUUCCACCCACAAGCCUGAGAGGGAAGCACAGCACUGCCAGAAACAAGAAGCAGGGAACUAAUUUCACACUCAGGCAAGUCCCUGAUAAAGGAAGAAU